This 240-nucleotide unclassified non-coding RNA is filed under the name soil metagenome. RNAcentral's name for it is "partial contains 5.8S ribosomal RNA, internal transcribed spacer 2, and large subunit ribosomal RNA". The record is from RNAcentral.
AACCAUAGAAACCUGCGGAGUACCUGCGGAAGGAUCAUUACAGAGUUGCAAAACUCCCUAAACCAUUGUGAACGUUACCUAAACCGUUGCUUCGGCGGGCGGCCCGGGUCCUUCCCGGCGCCCAUCGGCCCUCGCGGGCGCCCGCCGGAGGUAAACCAAACUAUUGCAUUGUAUGGCCUCUCUGAGUCUUCUGUACUGAAUAAGUCAAAAAUUUCAACAAUGGAUCUCAGAUCGGAAGAG